UUAAAUCUUAAAUUUUAAAUACAGAUAUUUAAAUUUUAAACCCCAAAUUUCACAUAUCAUAUUUUAAAAUUUGAAUUUCAAAAUUCAAAAUUUUAAAUUUAAUAUAAAAUUUAAAAUAAUCUCAAAUUUUAAAUUUUAAAAUUUAAAAUUUUGAAGUUUAAAAUUUAAAAUUUUAAAAUUGAAAAUUAAAAAUUAAAAUUAAAAAAUUUAAAAUUUAAAAGUUGACAAUUCAAAAUUUUAAAUUAAAAUUUUUAAAAUGACGUAUUGAAAGAAUUUUGGUAGUUGGAGGGGUGAACUUAUAAUUUUAUUUAACAUGUAAGAUUAACGGUCUUCAAUAAUCCAAAAUACACACCCAUCUCUCAGUAAUAUUUUGGUGUAAUUCUACACGAUUUGUAAUGCUACAUUACUAACCUAAUUAUAUACCAAAUAAACCAAAACAGUAGUCCUGACAGGAUUGUCUAUAAUCCUGUUAGGAUAUUGCGAACCAAACAUACCCUAAACUAAAUGUCAAAUAAAAUAUUCGUGUAUU
RNAcentral lists this long non-coding RNA (529 nucleotides) under Ananas comosus (pineapple). RNAcentral describes it as "long non-coding RNA (ACOM_LNC005689)". The record is from RNAcentral. Lineage: Eukaryota; Viridiplantae; Streptophyta; Magnoliopsida; Poales; Bromeliaceae.